GGGGGUAGAGCUCAGUUGGCAGAGUUUUUGCCUCACAUGUACAAGACCCUGGGUUCAAUCCCCAGCACCACUU
RNAcentral lists this transfer RNA (73 nucleotides) under Marmota monax (woodchuck). It matches the Rfam family "tRNA". Rfam says of the family: Transfer RNA (tRNA) molecules are approximately 80 nucleotides in length. Their secondary structure includes four short double-helical elements and three loops (D, anti-codon, and T loops). The record is from Rfam by way of RNAcentral. Lineage: Eukaryota; Metazoa; Chordata; Mammalia; Rodentia; Sciuridae.